This 171-nucleotide ribosomal RNA is filed under the name Achiroides leucorhynchos. RNAcentral's name for it is "partial 12S rRNA". The record is from RNAcentral. Lineage: Eukaryota; Metazoa; Chordata; Actinopteri; Pleuronectiformes; Soleidae.
CACCGCGGUUAAACGAGAGGCUCAAGUUGACAAUCUACGGCACAAAGAGUGGUUAGGGAACUACAACAAAACUAAAGCCAAACUCUUUCAAGGCAGUUAAAUGCACACGAAAGCAGGAAGAUCAAUGACGAAAGUAGCUUUACUAUACCUGAAUCCACGAAAGCUAAGGCA